GUCUUUCUAGUAUUAACGUCAGUACAGGUGACUUCCAAUCACUCGGUCUUGGUUAAAGCCCAAGGAAAGACA
This 72-nucleotide transfer RNA is filed under the name Centropyge interrupta (Japanese pygmy angelfish). RNAcentral's name for it is "tRNA-Gly". It matches the Rfam family "tRNA". Rfam says of the family: Transfer RNA (tRNA) molecules are approximately 80 nucleotides in length. Their secondary structure includes four short double-helical elements and three loops (D, anti-codon, and T loops). Lineage: Eukaryota; Metazoa; Chordata; Actinopteri; Pomacanthidae. The record is from RNAcentral.